GAUGAACGCUGGCGGCGUGCCUAAUACAUGCAAGUCGAGCGAACAGACGAGGAGCUUGCUCCUCUGACGUUAGCGGCGGACGGGUGAGUAACACGUGGACAACCUACCUAUAAGACUGGGAUAACUUCGGGAAACCGGAGCUAAUACCGGAUAAUAUAUUGAACCGCAUGGUUCAAUAGUGAAAGACGGUUUUGCUGUCACUUAUAGAUUGAUCCGCGCCGCAUUAGCUAGUUGGUAAGGUAACGGCUUACCAAGGCAACGAUGCGUAGCCGACCUGAGAGGGUGAUCGGCCACACUGGAACUGAGACACGGUCCAGACUCCUACGGGAGGCAGCAGUAGGGAAUCUUCCGCAAUGGGCGAAAGCCUGACGGAGCAACGCCGCGUGAGUGAUGAAGGUCUUCGGAUCGUAAAACUCUGUUAUUAGGGAAGAACAAAUGUGUAAGUAACUAUGCACGUCUUGACGGUACCUAAUCAGAAAGCCACGGCUAACUACGUGCCAGCCGCCGCGGUAA
This 513-nucleotide ribosomal RNA is filed under the name uncultured bacterium. RNAcentral describes it as "partial 16S ribosomal RNA". It matches the Rfam family "Bacterial small subunit ribosomal RNA", at positions 28 to 523 of the family's 1533-position model. The record is from RNAcentral.